GGGUUGUGAGGUUAAGCGACCAAGCGUACACGGUGGAUGCCCUGGCAGUCAGAGGCGAUGAAGGACGUGCUAAUCUGCGAUAAGCGCCGGUAAGGUGAUAUGAACCGUUAUAACCGGCGAUUUCCGAAUGGGGAAACCCAGUGUGAUUCGUCACACUAUCAUUAACUGAAUCCAUAGGUUAAUGAGGCGAACCGGGGGAACUGAAACAUCUAAGUACCCCGAGGAAAAGAAAUCAACCGAGAUUCCCCCAGUAGCGGCGAGCGAACGGGGAGGAGCCCAGAGCCUGAAUCAGCAUGUGUGUUAGUGGAAGCGUCUGGAAAGGCGCGCGAUACAGGGUGACAGCCCCGUACACAAAAGCGCAUAUGCUGUGAGCUCGAUGAGUAGGGCGGGACACGUGGUAUCCUGUCUGAAUAUGGGGGGACCAUCCUCCAAGGCUAAAUACUCCUGACUGACCGAUAGUGAACCAGUACCGUGAGGGAAAGGCGAAAAGAACCCCGGCGAGGGGAGUGAAACAGAACCUGAAACCGUGUACGUACAAGCAGUGGGAGC
RNAcentral lists this ribosomal RNA (549 nucleotides) under Salmonella enterica. RNAcentral describes it as "partial 23S ribosomal RNA". It matches the Rfam family "Bacterial large subunit ribosomal RNA", at positions 1 to 580 of the family's 2925-position model. The record is from RNAcentral. Lineage: Bacteria; Pseudomonadati; Pseudomonadota; Gammaproteobacteria; Enterobacterales; Enterobacteriaceae.